GACGAACGCUGGCGGCGUGCUUAACACAUGCAAGUCGAACGGAAAGGCCCUGCUUUUGUGGGGUGCUCGAGUGGCGAACGGGUGAGUAACACGUGAGUAACCUGCCCUUGACUUUGGGAUAACUUCAGGGAACUGGGGCUAAUACCGGAUAGGAGCUCCUGCUGCAUGGUGGGGGUUGGAAAGUUUCGGCGGUUGGGGAUGGACUCGCGGCUUAUCAGCUUGUUGGUGGGGCAGUGGCUUACCAAGGCUUUGACGGGUAGCCGGCCUGAGAGGGUGACCGGCCACAUUGGGACUGAGAUACGGCCCAGACUCCUACGGGAGGCAGCAGUGGGGAAUAUUGCACAAUGGGCGGAAGCCUGAUGCAGCAACGCCGCGUGCGGGAUGACGGCCUUCGGGUUGUAAACCGCUUCCGCCUGUGACGAAGCGUGAGUGACGGUAAUGGGUAAAGAAGCACCGGCUAACUACGUG
RNAcentral lists this ribosomal RNA (468 nucleotides) under uncultured bacterium. RNAcentral describes it as "partial 16S ribosomal RNA". It matches the Rfam family "Bacterial small subunit ribosomal RNA", at positions 28 to 507 of the family's 1533-position model. The record is from RNAcentral.